Syzygium oleosum is the source of this 1160-nucleotide RNA transcript. RefSeq lists it as uncharacterized. The record is from RefSeq and is a predicted model, not a curated record. The transcript is spliced from 4 exons. Lineage: Eukaryota; Viridiplantae; Streptophyta; Magnoliopsida; Myrtales; Myrtaceae.
CUAAAUUCCAUUUCAUUCCAUCUCUCUUCGUUCCGCAAAGCAAUGGCGAACCAAACCGCUCCGCUUCCGCUUCCACGUCUCUUCUUCUUCCUCCUCCUCCUCCUCCUCACGGUGAAGUUCCUCCGGCCCGCCGACGCCGCGCCCCGGAGGAGGAUCCACAUCGACGACGACCUCGACGGCGUGAUCGACGACGAGGAGGACGAGUCCUGGCGGCAAUGGGGACGGAAGUCGACGCCGCCUCCGCCUCCCGACGAUGAGUUCGACCCUCCUCCGGAUCUGUCGAGCGUGGAUUUGGGCCGGUUUCAGGAGGAGAUGAUGAGGCGUCACUCCGGGCCCGCCUUCGGGUUCGUGAAGCUCCGACUGGGCGUUCCUCGGACCCGGGAUAUGGUGUCUGAGAUCGCUAUGAAGUGGACCAAAGUUUUAAAGACAGGAGCUGUUGAGGUGAAGUUCAUGGGCAUUGAUCUUAACACAAUCAUGUUCACCAUGGUCAAAGGCCAAGACACACUAGAGUUGAAGGAGUUUUUGCUGGACCAACCAGAAGCAUAUGAGAUAAAGAUUGGAGAUCAAGCAUUCCGGCGACCCGGAGAUCCACCUCUGGAAGAAGUUUUAGAGAUGCUCCACAAAGAGAAGAAACCCAGUAGAAUCCCUGGAGAAAAUGAAGGGCGGUCGAAGGAAGAAUUGUAGAUGGUAGAAAUCACCUCAAUGAUGCUUCUAACAGAUGAACAGUAAAAUGCUCUGUGCUUGUCAAGGACCAGAAAAGGAAAAAAAGCGAAUAGAAAGAAAGAUAAACCCAGCUUUUAACUUGCUAGAAUUUCCAGUUUUCAAAGAAAUGUUUCCAGCUGAAGCAGGAAACUUCACGUGUAACUACUGAAUCAUGCCCAGCAGUAUCAGCUACGAAACUACAAUUCUAUCUGCAGGAUGAAACCCCCAUAUUCGAAUGAGUUUUAGAUCAGACAUGAUGCCAGUCUGCUGAGGUAAAGUUGCAUGUGGUAGUCAAGAAAUUUCACAAGAAGAAAAGCAGAUUAGAUGCAAUAACCUUUUCGAUUUCUAAUGGCCCUUAUGUAAAAAUAAUUGUGGCCCACAUGAUAUUAUUAAUGGUUUGAUAAUUAUUUAACUGUCAAAGAAACGCAUUGGCUAUGAUAAGUUGCAAUUUUUAUGAA